GAGUAGCGGCGAGCGAAACGGGAAGAGCCCAAACCAAUAAGCUUGCUUAUUGGGGUUGUAGGACACUCUAUACGGAGUUACAAAGGAAUAUAUUAAACGAAUCAUCUGGAAAGUUGAAUCAAAGAAGGUAAUAAUCCUGUAGUUGAAAAUAUAUUCUCUCUUGAGUGGAUCCUGAGUACGACGGAGCACGUGAAAUUCCGUCGGAAUCUGGGAGGACCAUCUCCUAAGGCUAAAUACUCUCUAGUGACCGAUAGUGAACCAGUACCGUGA
RNAcentral lists this ribosomal RNA (270 nucleotides) under Prymnesium polylepis. RNAcentral describes it as "partial Bacterial large subunit ribosomal RNA". It matches the Rfam family "Bacterial large subunit ribosomal RNA", at positions 241 to 506 of the family's 2925-position model. The record is from RNAcentral. Lineage: Eukaryota; Haptophyta; Prymnesiales; Prymnesiaceae.